AUGGUGUCCAAACUGUACAACGAAUGGCGUGUACCGUUGCUACCUAGCCUAGGUAUAUUUGCAUGCAUGUGGGCAGCCCAACAAUACAAAAUUCCGAUGAGCAUAUACAAUUACAGAUAUGCUCCGGCCGGCUCGGUUGCAUUCCAAAAGUUUGCAUCGUCGCAGUCGUUCAUCGGGGUCAACUACGGGACGCUCGCGGACAACCUGUCGCCAGCGGCGUCGACGGCCAGCCUGCUCACGUCGACGUCCAUCGGCAAGCUCCGCCUCUACGAGCCGCAGCAGGACCUCGUCGCGGCGCUCGCGGGCUCCAACAUCUCCAUCCUCCUGGGCGUCCCCAACUCCGACGUCCCGAGCCUCGCCGCCUCACCGGCCGCCGCGGCGUCGUGGGCCGCGGCGAACAUCCCCACCAUGGUGUCCGUCUCCGCCAUCUCCGUCGGCAACGAGCUCCUCAACUCCGGCGACCCCACGCUCGGCCCGCAGCUCCUCCCAGCCAUGCAGAACCUCCUCGCCGCGCUCCCCGCAGGCUCAACCACCAAGAUCUCGACGGUGCAUUCGAUGGCGGUGCUGGCGGCGUCGGACCCGCCGUCCUCCGGCGCGUUCCACAUGGACCUCGCCGGCAGCCUGGACCCGGUGCUGGAUUUCCUGCGGCAGAACGGCUCGCCGUUCAUGAUCAACCCGUACCCGUAUUUCGCGUACGCGUCGGACACGCGGGACGAGACGCUGGCCUUCUGCCUGUUCCAGCCCAACCCGGGCCGCGUGGACGCCGGGUCGGGGCUGAACUACAUGAACAUGUUCGACGCGCAGCUGGAUGCCGUCCGGGCGGCGCUGGACGGCAAGGGGUACGCGGGCGUGGACAUCGUCAUCGCCGAGACCGGGUGGCCGUACAGGGGGGACGCCGACGAGGCCGGCGCCACGCCGGACAACGCCAGGGCGUACAACGGCAACCUCGUGGCGCACCUCAGGUCGCAGGUGGGCACGCCGCGGACGCCCGGCAGGUCGGUGGACACGUACCUCUUCGCGCUCUACGACGAGGACCUCAAGCCCGGGCCCGUGUCGGAGCGGUCGUUCGGGCUGUACCAGGCCGACCUCACGGCCAACUACGACAUCGGUCUCGCCAAAGGCAGCGCCAGCCCCAGCACGUCCGGCCAGAUCGGCGUCACCGCAACUCCGGCGCAGGCUGCGCCGCAGGCCGGGAGGGGGGCGACGCCGGCAGGGUACUGUGUGCCGACGAGCACCGUGCCGGGGAACACGCAGCAGGUGCAGCAGCAGAGCAGCUCGUGCUACGUCCCGGGAACAGCAGCAUCGCCGAAAGGUGACGCCGGCGUGCUGCUGCUUGUCUUGUUUGGUGCUUUGCUGGGCCUGGCAAUGGUGGCCGAAAGUAGAUGA
RNAcentral lists this ribosomal RNA (1386 nucleotides) under Triticum aestivum (bread wheat). RNAcentral's name for it is "partial small subunit ribosomal RNA". The record is from RNAcentral. Lineage: Eukaryota; Viridiplantae; Streptophyta; Magnoliopsida; Poales; Poaceae.